RNAcentral lists this ribosomal RNA (505 nucleotides) under uncultured bacterium. Its description in RNAcentral is "bacterial SSU rRNA". It matches the Rfam family "Bacterial small subunit ribosomal RNA", at positions 1 to 507 of the family's 1533-position model. The record is from RNAcentral.
ACGAGUUUGAUCAUGGCUCAGAUUGAACGCUGGCGGCAUGCUUUACACAUGCAAGUCGAACGGUAACGGGGACUUCGGUCUGCCGACGAGUGGCGAACGGGUGAGUAAUAUAUCGGAACGUGCCCAGUAAUGGGGGAUAGCUCGGCGAAAGCCGGAUUAAUACCGCAUACGCCCUGAGGGGGAAAGUGGGGGAUCUUCGGACCUCACGUUAUUGGAGCGGCCGAUAUCAGAUUAGCUAGUUGGUGGGGUAAAGGCCUACCAAGGCGACGAUCUGUAGCUGGUCUGAGAGGAUGAUCAGCCACACUGGGACUGAGACACGGCCCAGACUCCUACGGGAGGCAGCAGUGGGGAAUUUUGGACAAUGGGCGAAAGCCUGAUCCAGCCAUGCCGCGUGAGUGAAGAAGGCCUUCGGGUUGUAAAGCUCUUUCAGGUGGAAAGAAAGCGGAUGGGUUAAUACCCUGUCCGGAUGACGGUACCACCAGAAGAAGCACCGGCUAACUACGUG